CCUACGGGAGGCAGCAGUGAGGAAUAUUGGUCAAUGGGCUUACGCCUGAACCAGCCAAGUCGCGUGAGGGAAGACUGCCCUAUGGGUUGUAAACCUCUUUUGUCAGGGAGCAACGCCGGCUACGUGUAGCCGGACUGAGAGUACCUGAAGAAAAAGCAUCGGCUAACUCCGUGCCAGCAGCCGCGGUAAUACGGAGGAUGCGAGCGUUAUCCGGAUUUAUUGGGUUUAAAGGGUGCGUAGGCGGAAGCGCAAGUCAGCGGUAAAAUUGAGAGGCUCAACCUCUUCCCGCCGUUGAAACUGCGUUU
RNAcentral lists this ribosomal RNA (305 nucleotides) under uncultured bacterium. RNAcentral's name for it is "bacterial SSU rRNA". It matches the Rfam family "Bacterial small subunit ribosomal RNA", at positions 338 to 640 of the family's 1533-position model. The record is from RNAcentral.